GUGCUCACUUCGACAGCACAUAUACUAAAACUGAAAAAAUACAGAAAAGAUUAGCAUGCUCCUGUGCAAGAAUGACAUGCAAAUUUUUAAAGUGUUCCAUAUUUUU
Molecule: small nuclear RNA, 106 nt
Organism: Nannospalax galili (Upper Galilee mountains blind mole rat)
Lineage: Eukaryota; Metazoa; Chordata; Mammalia; Rodentia; Spalacidae
Source: Ensembl